This 66-nucleotide transfer RNA is filed under the name Syndesmis echinorum. RNAcentral describes it as "tRNA-Leu". Lineage: Eukaryota; Metazoa; Platyhelminthes; Rhabdocoela; Umagillidae. The record is from RNAcentral.
UUUAAAAGUGGCAGAUGAAUGCGUUGGGUUCAAGCCUCAAAGAUGGAGAAUUUUCUUCUUUUUUUA